Molecule: ribosomal RNA, 891 nt
Filed under: Pseudophaeophleospora phormii
Lineage: Eukaryota; Fungi; Ascomycota; Dothideomycetes; Mycosphaerellales; Mycosphaerellaceae
Description: partial 28S ribosomal RNA
Rfam family: Eukaryotic large subunit ribosomal RNA
Source: RNAcentral
GCAUAUCAAUAAGCGGAGGAAAAGAAACCAACAGGGAUUGCCCUAGUAACGGCGAGUGAAGCGGCAACAGCUCAAAUUUGAAAUCUGGCGCACGCCCGAGUUGUAAUUUGCAGAGGAUGCUUCUAGGCAGCGGCCGUUCUAAGUUCCUUGGAACAGGACGUCAUAGAGGGUGAGAAUCCCGUAUGUGACCGGCGCGCACCUUCGACGUAGCUCCUUCGACGAGUCGAGUUGUUUGGGAAUGCAGCUCUAAAUGGGAGGUAAAUUUCUUCUAAAGCUAAAUACCGGCCAGAGACCGAUAGCGCACAAGUAGAGUGAUCGAAAGAUGAAAAGCACUUUGGAAAGAGAGUUAAAAAGCACGUGAAAUUGUUGAAAGGGAAGCGCCUGCAACCAGACUUCGCGGCAGUGUUCCGCCGGUCUUCUGACCGGUUCAUUCUCUGUCGCGAGGCCAUCAUCGUCUGGGGCCGCCGGAUAAGACUGGAGGAAUGUAGCUCCCCUCGGGGAGUGUUAUAGCUUCCAGUGAUGCGGCGUGCCUCGGGCGAGGUCCGCGCUUCGGCAAGGAUGAUGGCGUAAUGGUUGUCGGCGGCCCGUCUUGAAACACGGACCAAGGAGUCUAACAUCUAUGCGAGUGUUCGGGUGUCAAACCCCUACGCGUAAUGAAAGUGAACGGAGGUGGGAACGCAAGUGCACCAUCGACCGAUCCUGAUGUCCUCGGAUGGAUUUGAGUAAGAGCAUAGCUGUUGGGACCCGAAAGAUGGUGAACUAUGCCUGAAUAGGGUGAAGCCAGAGGAAACUCUGGUGGAGGCUCGCAGCGGUUCUGACGUGCAAAUCGAUCGUCAAAUUUGGGUAUAGGGGCGAAAGACUAAUCGAACCAUCUAGUAGCUGGUUCCUGCC